Molecule: ribosomal RNA, 399 nt
Filed under: Triticum aestivum (bread wheat)
Lineage: Eukaryota; Viridiplantae; Streptophyta; Magnoliopsida; Poales; Poaceae
Description: partial small subunit ribosomal RNA
Source: RNAcentral
AUGGACUCUGAGGCUGAAUCUGAAGAAAAUGAGGAAGAGGAGACAUCUGAGAAGUCCGAAUCCGGAGUGGCGAGCCUAGCUCUCGCUACUGCAUUCGUCAGCAAGUCUAUCUUCAACACUGAAGAAAAUGACCUCACCAACAAGGCUGAUGAAAGCGAUGAUGACUACGCUCCCACCUAUUGCUUCAUGGCAAAGGGUGCCAAGGUACUCAAAUAUACCUCCUCUGAAUCAAGUGAGAAUGAAUCUGAUGAAAACCUUAAGCCCGACUAUUCUAAACUUGCUAAGAUUGCUAUAAAACAACAAAGGGCUUUAGAAGAGGUUCAAAACAUGCUAAAUAAAAGUGAUGAUAUGUUGGGUGAAGAAAUGGAUCGCACUGAAACUUUGACUGAAAAUCUUUAG